This is a microRNA precursor of Callithrix jacchus (white-tufted-ear marmoset), 63 nucleotides long. The record is from Ensembl. Lineage: Eukaryota; Metazoa; Chordata; Mammalia; Primates; Cebidae.
CAUUUUGUCGGUAGAGGCAGGAGGAGGAGGUCGGGUUGUAGAAGCUGGAGUGGCCGGCAGCGC